CUAAAAAACAAAAAAUAAUGCCGUAUAAUUCUGGGGAUAUGGCCCGGAAGUCUCUACAGGAACACCUUAAAGGUUCCUACUACGGCGUGCACUGAUUUCCGG
This is a regulatory RNA element of 102 nucleotides. It matches the Rfam family "Purine riboswitch aptamer". From Rfam's summary of the family: Riboswitches are metabolite binding domains within certain messenger RNAs that serve as precision sensors for their corresponding targets. Allosteric rearrangement of mRNA structure is mediated by ligand binding, and this results in modulation of gene expression. The record is from Rfam.